RNAcentral lists this ribosomal RNA (497 nucleotides) under uncultured bacterium. Its description in RNAcentral is "partial 16S ribosomal RNA". It matches the Rfam family "Bacterial small subunit ribosomal RNA", at positions 28 to 507 of the family's 1533-position model. The record is from RNAcentral.
GAUGAACGCUGGCGGCGUGCCUAACACAUGCAAGUCGAGCGAACGCACGGUAAGCUUUCUCCUUUGCUGUUAGCGGCUGACGGGUGAGUAACGCGUGCAUCACCUUCUUCUAUGUCUUGGAUAAUUUCGUGAAACCGUAGCCACUACUGCAGCAUAUUAUCUACCGCAUGGUUCAAAAGUGCAUGACGCCUUUGCUGUCACAUAUAGACGAUUCCGCGCUGCAUUAGCUAGUUGGUAAGGUAACGGCUUACCAAGGCAACGAUGCGUAGCCGACCUGAGAGGGUGAUCGGCCACACUGGAACUGAGACACGGUCCAGACUCCUACGGGAGGCAGCAGUAGGGAAUCUUCCGCAAUGGGCGAAAGCCUGACGCAGCAACGCCGCGUGAGUGAUGAAGGUCUUCGGAUCGUAAAACUCUGUUGUUAGGGAAGAACAUAUGUGUGAGUAACUGUGCACAUCUUGACGGUACCUAAUGAGAAAGCCCCGGCUAACUACGUG